AAGUCGUAACAAGGUCUCCGUUGGUGAACCAGCGGAGGGAUCAUUACCGAGUUUACCUUACUCAAAACCCUUAUGUGGACUAUUACCUAUUCCGUUGCUUCGGCUGGCGGCCCUGUGGAAGGGGUCCUUCUGGCGCUGUAUGGCGUGCUAGCCGGUGGCAUUUACAAACUCUUCUGUCUUUAGUGGAUUUAAAACUGCUGAGUGGCAUUAUCACAAAAAGUCAAAACUUUCAACAACGGAUCUCUUGGCUCUG
RNAcentral lists this unclassified non-coding RNA (253 nucleotides) under fungal sp. RNAcentral describes it as "partial internal transcribed spacer region". The stretch from base 1 to 46 matches the Rfam family "Eukaryotic small subunit ribosomal RNA", at positions 1786 to 1831 of the family's 1831-position model. Lineage: Eukaryota; Fungi. The record is from RNAcentral. RNAcentral also lists the same sequence under 1 other name.